AUCUUCGGCAAUGGGCGAAAGCCUGACCGAGCGACGCCGCGUGAGCGAUGAAGGCCAUUAGGUUGUAAAGCUCUGUCGAGGAGGAACAAGCCGCAAGGUUGAGUGAUCCCUGGAGGAAGCACGGGCUAAGUUCGUGCCAGCAGCCGCGGUAAGACGAACCGUGCGAACGUUGUUCGGAAUCAUUGGGCUUAAAGGGCGCGUAGGCGGGUGUUCAAGUCCGGGGUGAAAGCCUCCAGCUCAACUGGAGAAGAGCCCCGGAUACUGUUCACCUGGAGAGAGAUAGGGGCACAUGGAACUUCCGGUGGAGCGGUGAAAUGCGUAGAGAUCGGAAGGAACGCCGGUGGCGAAAGCGAUGUGCUGGAUCUUUUCUGACGCUGAGGCGCGAAAGCUAGGGGAGCAAACGGGAUUAGAUACCCCGGUAGUCCUAGCCCUAAACGAUGGGUACUGGGUUGCGGGUCAGACACAGACUCGCAGCCGAAGCAAAAGUGUUAAGUACCCCGCCUGGGGAGUAUGGUCGCAAGGCUGAAACUCAAAGGAA
RNAcentral lists this ribosomal RNA (538 nucleotides) under uncultured bacterium. RNAcentral's name for it is "bacterial SSU rRNA". It matches the Rfam family "Bacterial small subunit ribosomal RNA", at positions 361 to 909 of the family's 1533-position model. The record is from RNAcentral.